Long non-coding RNA from Gasterosteus aculeatus aculeatus (three-spined stickleback), 1844 nucleotides. NCBI's taxonomy places the organism in Eukaryota, Metazoa, Chordata, Actinopteri, Perciformes, Gasterosteidae. The record is from Ensembl.
GCCAGGGACACCACAGAAGAGCUAAAUACUCAAAAACCCUCAAUUAAGAUCACAUUGCAGAUAAGCAAAAGUUAUGUGAUUUUAAGUGUCAAAAGCACCUUACGAAGAUGGUUCGCACGGUGGACUCUCCGUCAGAUCCUGCAAAUUGUGCUAAAUAGCUGGAGACCAACCUCCAUCUAAAUAACCUCUACCACAAACCUAUUGCUGCCUCUACCAGCAGAUAUUGGCAGAAAGCUGGAACUGAGCCUCCACCCUCUGCCUCUCCCUGCACCUGCAGUUGCUGCCUCCAACUGCAGGUUGCCGGCAGGCAGCUGCAGCCAAAUCUUCACCUACAGCCUCUGCCAGUGACCUGUUGAUGCCGCCUCCAACUGCAGGUUGCUGGCAGACAGCUUCAACCAAACCUCCACCUAUGUCCAACGACCACAGUUGCACCACCUGCAGACUCUGCCAGCCUCCACCUAAAAUCCUCUGCCAGCAACCUGCGGUUUUUGCCUCCAACUGCAGUCUGCUUGCAGACAACUGCAACUUAAUUCCAUCUUAACAGCCUCUGCCACAAACCUGCAGUUGCACCCUCCACUUGCAGAUUGUGGUUGAGGGGCUACAACCAAACCUCCACCGCCAGCUGUAGCUAAAUAUCCAGCCUCUGCCACUAAUCUGCUGUUACAUUCUCCACCAGCAGAUAUUGGCAGACAGCUGCAACUGAGCCUGAAUCUUCCGCCUCUGCCAGCACCUGCAGUGUCUGCCUAAAACGGUUGGUUGUUGGCAGUCAGCUGCAACCAAAUCUCCACCUAAAUAGCCUCUGACCUGCUAUAGCUGCCUCCAGCUGUAGCUGCCUCCAUCAUGGCCUACGCCAGUUACCUCUAUAUGCCGCCUCCACCUGAACAUACCGAUGAAUCCUAACUCUACCUCCCAAACCUCCACCUUCACGCAUCCGCCGCAACCUGCAGUUACCGCCUCUAACUGUAGUAUGCUGGAAGACAUUUGUAUAAAGAUGCCUUUGAAGCCUCAACGUAAAGCCUUUGUCAGAUGCCACAAGCUGCUGAUGUUUCAUCCAUGUGUCCAACCUCAUCAAAAUGCAACCAAAGCUUCACCUAAAUAGCUUCUACCACAAACCUGCCAUUCACCGUCUCCACCAGUAGAUUGUGGCAGACGGCUGAAACCGAACCUCCACCUAGAGCCACCUACAGUUACUUGUCGUCACCUAAGCGUCCACCUUCCUGCCUCUGGCAAAACCUGCUGCUCACCACCACCGGCAGUUUGUGCAGAGUGCUGCCUUUCAAAUCUUCAACUACAGCCUCUGCCAGAAUCUACAUUUGUUCCCUCCACCUGCGGAUUCUGGCACCUGGCGUUCCUCCACCUACGACCUCUAAAUUGUCUUACUCCUGAGAGACUUCAUCCACAACUCCCAUUGAGCCAGAAUUCAACGUGCUCCAGCGCCUGCAUCCUUUGCGAUGCUACACCUGAAGCCUCUCCCAGCUGCAACCGAACCUCCUCCUAAAUAGCUUCUGCCAGCAACCCACAGUUGCAUCCUCCACCUGUAGAUUGCACAGCCUCUGCUUACCUGUGGAAGCCUCCACCUGAAGAUCCUUGAAGAUCGCUAGAGCAUAAACCUCCACAUACAACCAUCACCGUGCACCUACAACUCUGCCUGAACUAUCUGCCAGCCAACUUUGUUGUUGGACUCCACACGUCCAGAUGUACCAGGAGCUGAUCGAGAGCCGGGAUCAUUCCUUCUACCACAAGAGCCAUGUUCCAGAGAUGCUUAUUCCUCCUCCACCUUCACCACCAACUCCUGCUCCUUGUCUUAACUUUUGCACUGUUGUUUAAUAAAUUCCAUCAUUGCU